RNAcentral lists this long non-coding RNA (564 nucleotides) under Musa acuminata (dwarf banana). Its description in RNAcentral is "long non-coding RNA (MACU_LNC000147)". Lineage: Eukaryota; Viridiplantae; Streptophyta; Magnoliopsida; Zingiberales; Musaceae. The record is from RNAcentral.
UCCAAGCCAGUUAUCUGAAAGGUUAAAUCAUGACUAAUGUGAGCAGAAUUGUUGCGGAUAAGAACACUUGCAGUUCAAUAUCUUUAUUGCUAAAGUUGUUUGUAGAAAAGAAGUUUCUCUUAUCAUUUCAAUUAGCGACUGGCAUGCAAAUAAUGCUGAUAAUUCUAUCCCAAUGCAGGAGGCUGACACCGAUGCAAAUUUUGGAGAAAAUCAAAAUAAGCUGUGAUACACACAGGAUUAUGCAAAUGUGCCAACAUCAGUGAUUGUUGUGUCACUAGAAUUUGUAUUCUGUCUUGUGAUAGCAGAUAUCUAUCGAAAAGAACAGAUUCCAACUUUCAUGUUGGACAAAUCCUAGCUAUCAGUUAUCGUCAUGUUGCCGAUAUGGUAUCAUCAACUUUGAACCUUAAAGAGUCAAAGUUCAUUGUUGAAUGUCUUGGUUAUUGUAAUAUCUUUAAAUCACUCUGUAAAUUAAAAUAUGACAUUCUACACUUUGUUUAUACAGCAUGGCUUUGUGCUACUUCAACAUCCAAAAAUCUGUAUCUGAGUAUUUGAUUUUGACUAUUU